Molecule: long non-coding RNA, 206 nt
Organism: Quercus lobata
Lineage: Eukaryota; Viridiplantae; Streptophyta; Magnoliopsida; Fagales; Fagaceae
Exons: 3
Source: RefSeq, a predicted model, not a curated record
UGUGUAGGGACAUCUCGUAGAAGAAAGGGUGCAUUAGAGAAAGCUACAAGAAAGAGAAAACGUCAAACUAAAGCAUCCUCUCAUAUUCAACAGCUCACACCGGAAGAUAGCAUGAGAAAUUUAAAUACACCUGGCUUUACUGAUAUGCUGAACUUGACACAGGAAGAUAGCAUGGGAAAUUUAAAUACACCUGGCUUUACUGAUAU